UACGUAGGCAGCGAGCGUUGUUCGGCAUUACUGGGCGUAAAGAGUGUGUAGGCGGUGCUCCCAGUCUGGUGUGAAAUCUCCCGGCUUAACUGGGAGGGUGCGCCGGAAACUGGAGUGCUAGAGGGUGGGAGAGGUAAGCGGAAUUCCUGGUGUAGCGGUGAAAUGCGUAGAUAUCCGGAGGAACACCUGUGGUGUAGUCAGCUUACUGGCCCACUUCUGACGCUGAGCCACGAUAGCGUGGGUAGCAAACAGG
This 253-nucleotide ribosomal RNA is filed under the name uncultured bacterium. RNAcentral's name for it is "partial 16S ribosomal RNA". It matches the Rfam family "Bacterial small subunit ribosomal RNA", at positions 524 to 776 of the family's 1533-position model. The record is from RNAcentral.